Molecule: long non-coding RNA, 275 nt
Filed under: Musa acuminata (dwarf banana)
Lineage: Eukaryota; Viridiplantae; Streptophyta; Magnoliopsida; Zingiberales; Musaceae
Description: long non-coding RNA (MACU_LNC001790)
Source: RNAcentral
UGCCUUCUCCAUUGACUACUACUAUUGAAGUCUACAAUAUUCCAAUCAAUUUUGUAGCAUUCCGUGUACUAUAUGAGUUGUUUUCUUCAUGCAUGCAUGAUGGGAGCUGGUAGCUUGAUCGAUUUGCCAAGACUGUAAUAACACGAUUCCCAAACAUGAUCAAGAGAUUUGUUUCAGUAUAUAGAUAUCCCCAACACUACAUUUUUAUUUCAUUCGAAUCCUAUAUAUCUGAUGAUGAUGCAGGUGAUUUUAUGCUUUUGGUCGGGCUUCCUUUG